GAGACACGGCCCAGACUCCUACGGGAGGCAGCAGUGGGGAAUAUUGCACAAUGGGCGAAAGCCUGAUGCAGCGACGCCGCGUGAGGGAUGACGGCCUUCGGGUUGUAAACCUCUUUCAGCAGGGACGAAGCGCAAGUGACGGUACCUGCAGAAGAAGCACCGGCUAACUACGUGCCAGCAGCCGCGGUAAUACGUAGGGUGCAAGCGUUGUCCGGAAUUACUGGGCGUAAAGAGUUCGUAGGCGGUUUGUCGCGUCGUUUGUGAAAACCAGCAGCUCAACUGCUGGCUUGCAGGCGAUACGGGCAGACUUGAGUACUGCAGGGGAGACUGGAAUUCCUGGUGUAGCGGUGAAAUGCGCAGAUAUCAGGAGGAACACCGGUGGCGAAGGCGGGUCUCUGGGCAGUAACUGACGCUGAGGAACGAAAGCGUGGGUAGCGAACAGGAUUAGAUACCCUGGUAGUCCACGCCGUAAACGGUGGGCGCUAGGUGUGGGUUCCUUCCACGGAAUCCGUGCCGUAGCUAACGCAUUAAGCGCCCCG
Molecule: ribosomal RNA, 539 nt
Filed under: Rhodococcus sp. (in: high G+C Gram-positive bacteria)
Lineage: Bacteria; Bacillati; Actinomycetota; Actinomycetes; Mycobacteriales; Nocardiaceae
Description: bacterial SSU rRNA
Rfam family: Bacterial small subunit ribosomal RNA
Source: RNAcentral